ACCAGUACCGUGAGGGAAAGGUGAAAAGCACCCCGACAAGGGGAGUGAAAGAGAACCUGAAACCGGAUGCCUACAAGCAGUCGGAGGGGCAUUAAGCCCUGACGGCGUACCUUUUGUAUAAUGGGUCAGCGAGUUAGUUUAUGUAGCAAGCAUAAGCCGAUAGGUGGAUGCGUAGCGAAAGCGAGUGUUAAUAGCGCGUUAAGUUACAUGAAUUAGACCCGAAACCGAGUGAUCUAGCCAUGAACAGGUUGAAGGUUGGGUAACACCAACUGGAGGACCGAACCCACUCCCGUUGAAAAGGUAGGGGAUGAUUUGUGGCUAGGGGUGAAAGGCCAAUCAAACUCGGAAAUAGCUGGUUCUCCGCGAAAACUAUUUAGGUAGUGCGGUAGGCGAACACCAUGAGGGGUAGAGCACUGAAAGAGCUAAGGGGGAGCGAUCCUUACUAAACUUUAUCAAACUCCGAAUACUCAUGAGUGAUACUUACCAGACAGACAGUAGGUGCUAAGGUCUAUUGUCGAGAGGGAAAGAGCCCAGACCGUCAACUAAGGUCCCUAAAUUAUGGCUAAGUGGUAAAGGAAGUGGGAUAUCCAAAACAGUCAGGAGGUUGGCUUAGAAGCAGCCAUCCUUUAAAGAAAGCGUAAUAGCUCACUGAUCUAAAUAAGACGUCCUGCGCCGAAGAUGUAACGGGGCUAAAGCCAUAUACCGAAGUUACGGGAUUGUAUUGCAAUAGAUACAAUCGGUAGCGGAGCGUUCUGUAGGCCUGCGAAGGUGAACCGUAAGGUUUGCUGGAGGUAUCAGAAGUGAGAAUGCUGACAUGAGUAGCGAAAAGAAGAGUGAGAGACUCUUCCGCUGAAAGUCCAAGGUUUCCUGCGUAAAGCUAAUCUGCGCAGGGUUAGUCGGCCCCUAAGGCGAGGCAGAGAUGCGUAGCUGAUGGGAACACGGUUAAUAUUCCGUGACCAGUUAGGAAGUGACGGAUACAGUAGUUUGUACAUGCUUAAUGGAUUGUGUGUGCAAGUGAUGUGUCCCGGGAAAUAGCCCUAACGAAGACCGUACCCGAAACCGACACAGGUGGACAGGUAGAGUAUACCAAAGCGCUUGAGAGAACUAUGUUGAAGGAACUAGGCAAAAUGCUUGUGUAACUUCGGGAUAAGCAAGCCCGGUUUUAAGGCAACUUAAGGCCGGGGGCACAUACUAGGGGGUAGCGACUGUUUAACAAAAACACAGGACUCUGCGAAAUUGAAAGAUGAAGUAUAGGGUCUGACGCCUGCCCGGUGCCGGAAGGUUAAGGAGAGAUGUGAGAGCAUUGAACUGAAGCCCCGGUAAACGGCGGCCGUAACUAUAACGGUCCUAAGGUAGCGAAAUUCCUUGUCGGGUAAGUUCCGACCUGCACGAAUGGCGUAACGACUUCCCCGCUGUCUCCAACAUAGGCUCAGCGAAAUUGAAUUCUGAGUUAAGAUGCUCAGUACCCGCGGUUAGACGGAAAGACCCCGUGAACCUUUACUAUAGCUUUGCAGUGGUAUUAGGUAAGACAUGUGUAGGAUAGGUGGGAUGCUAUGAAGGUAGGACGCUAGUUUUACUGGAGCAGACGUUGAAAUACCACCCUUGUGUUAUUUGAUAUCUAACCUACUUCCGUAAACCGGAAGAGGGACCCUGCAUGGUGGGUAGUUUGACUGGGGCGGUCGCCUCCCAAAGAGUAACGGAGGCGCGCGAAGGUUGGCUCAGAUUGGUCGGAAAUCAAUCGUUGAGUGCAAUGGCAUAAGCCAGCCUGACUGCGAGAGCGACGGUUCGAGCAGAGACGAAAGUCGGUCAUAGUGAUCCGGUGGUCCCGAGUGGAAGGGCCAUCGCUCAACGGAUAAAAGGUACUCCGGGGAUAACAGGCUGAUUCCGCCCAAGAGUUCACAUCGACGGCGGAGUUUGGCACCUCGAUGUCGGCUCAUCACAUCCUGGGGCUGGAGAAGGUCCCAAGGGUUCGGCUGUUCGCCGAUUAAAGUGGCACGCGAGCUGGGUUCAGAACGUCGUGAGACAGUUCGGUCCCUAUCUGUUGCGGGCGUAAGAGAUUUGAAGGGAGCUGUCCUUAGUACGAGAGGACCGGGAUGGAC
This 2099-nucleotide ribosomal RNA is filed under the name human gut metagenome. RNAcentral describes it as "bacterial LSU rRNA". It matches the Rfam family "Bacterial large subunit ribosomal RNA", at positions 494 to 2702 of the family's 2925-position model. The record is from RNAcentral.